UUGGAUGGUUCAUUUUGUGUGGAGAGUGCAAAGUCCAAAAAGUGUAGUUAUGUUGUAAACUUUGAUAUACCAGAUUGCACAUGUGUAGAUUUUCGGAGAUAUAAAUACCCAUGCAAGCACUUCUGUGCAAUCUUUAUUUUUUACCCAGAGUGGGGUUUUGAUAAAAUGCCAGAAAGUUAUGAGACUAGUCCAUUAAUCUGUCUUGAUGAAAUGUAUGGUGUGGGCUUUAGAAGUGGCUCUUUAGUAAUUUCAUGCGAAGGUAGUAGUACUGAUGAAGCAGCUGAGGAGGCUGUCAAGGCAGCAAAUACAGAUGGUCUUGUUCAAACCCAGAAUAUUUCUUCGCAGCAGUUUGAAGCGAGGGAGCUGUGUAAACAGAUUUAUAAUCUCACAUACAACUGCAGCAACAGCGAAACAUUACAAAAAGUACUUGAAUCACUGAGCAACUGUGUGCAAGAUUUGCAAUUAGCAAAUCCUGAAGUUGGUGGUCUCCCAUUAGUAGUGCCAUCAACUUCCAAACAAUAGUGAAGAACGAUGCCAAAAGCCUUAAGAGAUCUGUCUUAAACACAUUAUAACUUUCCAUUUGAAGGGUAAGAAAUGAUGGUUUAUUUGGAUUUUAGAUAGCUCUUUGUCUAUGUAAAAUACGAAUAAGCUCCGUCAUUUCUGAUCCUCGAGAUGGAAUGCUAUGAGGUCUUUAUGUUGGUCUCUGCUUUUAAACUUUGUUGCACAUUUGAAUUUCGAAGUAGCAAUAGAUAAAAUAUUAUAAAAAGGAUAGUUGCUACAUUUGUGUGUGUGUGUGUGUUUGUGAGUGAGUGUGCGCGCGCGCGCGCUUUUGAAAAGGCCCUUGUUGCCCGAAAGAUAAGUCCGACAGUCUUUUUGUUGUGCCUUUCUGUGACUCGGCAUCUUCACUAUUUGGUGAGCAGCAACAACUAUCCUUUUCAUAAUAUUGUUACAUUCCAUCCUGGAUUUUUCGUUGUUCACCAGAGAAAAGAUUUUUCUGAGGAAUUAAACUAGAUGAUAGUGUAGAACUUGCAAACUUUUUAAAAUAUGAAGUAAAAGAUUUUAACUUUAAAUUAGUUUAAUUCAAAUAUGGGACAAUGUUGAGAAUUGAAAAGGUGGAAAAAAUAAAUAAGAUAUAUCUUAGUGGCAUUGAGAUGUCGUAUGACUGAUGGAGAAAAGAUUUUGCAUUUCUUUUUCCAAGUAAGAAUGCACUUGCUCUCACUUGCUUCAAUACAUGUCUAGUGAUUCACGUGAAACAGAGAAAAAGAUAAAGACUGCCCUGUUAAUGAACAUGUGAGAUUGCCCAGUAUCACUCUGACAGAAGAGUGUGCUGUUUCCUUGAUAUGGUAUCUGGUCAUCAAUGUCAUUGGGACCAAAUGAAAGUUACUGCAGAGACCACACAGAAGCAAUUACUGUUACUGGAAUACCAGUAAUGUUUAUUAAAUUCAGUUAUAAAGUAGUUCUGGGCAUUGCAGCUGGUGAGUAAUGUCAUUGGGCACCAAAAGAAGUUCAGUUACGAUGGAUUUGUGGCCUUCAGUCCGUGGGAAAAUUCACACCAGAUUGAAUCAAGACUGUUAUAUUCCAAGGAUAUCGAAGAUUGAUAGUAUUCCUGAAGGAAAACAAUCCAUGUAGUAUUUCACGUGUGUAUCAAACUGCCAUUUGUUGUGGCACAUAAAUGUUUGCAACUUGAUUGUAAUUUUUGACAGGUUUCUCAACAAUCCAAGAAUUUCUUGUAAUGAGAAGUAGACAUUGUUGCUUGGGUAAAGGAAAUACAAAUCACGGUCAAUACAACUACCUUAUUAACUUUCCACAGAUAAAUAUUUUUCACUACUGCUACUUAAAAAUUCAAAUGUGUGACAGUUUGCUUACAGAACUUGGCAUAAAGAUCUCCCUUAUUUGUAUUUUUUAGAUAGCUCUUAUUGUUUGAUCCUUCAAAUGGAAUGCUAUGACCUCCAUGUGAUCUAUUCCUUAGUAGUUAAUUAUCCAUUAAGGCACAAAUAUAUGAACAUUACAAUGAGAGGGGUCUUUAUGCCAGGCCCUGUAAAAGUAAUGGCAUCUUACUUAAUAUUAUUGUUGGGAAUUUGAUGGCACAGCUGUGGGGAGACCACAAAUUUCAGGGUUUGCUAACUGCAAAUCUGGCACACAGUUGCUGAGUGAUUCAAGUACUUUUCAUAAUGUUUCACUGUUGAUACAGUUGUAUGUGAGAUUAUAAACUUGUUUGAACAACACCUUCACUUCAAAUUGCUGCAAAGAAAUGGUUAAGGUAUCAGUGUGAUGCUCUAUGUGUUUCCUCAACUUUGUCCUCAUUGCUACUAUCUUCAUGUGAAAUUACUGCAGACACACUUCUGAAACCAAACCUGUACAUCUCGUGGAGACAGAUUAAUGGGCUAUUCCUGCAGCCUUCUGGUAUUUUAUCAAAACCCCACUCUGGAUAGAAAAUAAAGAUCGCACAGAAAUGCUUGCAUGGGUAUUUAUAUAUCUUAAAAUCUUCACAUGUGCAGUUUGGUAGAGUAAAGCUUACAACAUAAUUACAGUCUUUGAACAUUGUACUCUCCAUACAAAACAUUGUCCAACUUCACAUUCACUAAUCUUGCAGUUAACUCAACUUUCCCUGGUUCAUAUCACUGCAUGACAUGUUUCACAAACUUGCUUUUUUUAAAAAAAAUGAAAAAACAGUGGAACAUGUCUGUUAUGAUUUGAUGGCAGAAUUCUGCAGACAGUACUUUCUAAUUAGGCUUGGAAGAAAUUUAUUUCUUAUAUCCCUAGUAGCCCCAUUGAAGGUCCCAUCUGUGUUCCAUUUUAGGAAAAAAAAAAUGUUUACAAUCUUGUUCAUGGCUUCAACUCCACUUGUAAUGUCAAUGGUAUCAAAAUUGCCCUUGUCCUCAUAAGCUUCCACUCACUUUUCAUGUACCAGUAGCCGCUGCUGUUAAACGUACGGUGAUGCAUAUUCGUUUCUCUGAGAAGCCUCACUAUCUCUUUUGUAUGAUCUGUAAAUUCUCUGUUGGUGAUUCUAAAAUUUCUUGCCACAUGCCCAGAAAUCUCUUCAUGUCAUUUGGUAUAUAUUCAGCCAUCUUCCUCAAACCUGUUUCAGACUGAAAAGGCACAAGUACACUUUUGUCUGAGGAAAUGCUAGAUCAGUUGCAUUUAUCUCAGACUAUAAGAAAUCAGUAACCCAGUAGAUGGGAUUCCAAUCCUUGAAAAUGGCUAGUGCUUCAUGAAUGGAUCUCGCAUUUUCAACUUGAAUGAAAAAGAAAACCAAAUAACCUGCAUUACUCUUUACAGCUAUAAAAAAAUAAAGGCAUAUCAUGUGUUGUUGUUUUGUAUGUUGCAUAUAACAACUAUCCCUGUACUUCUUCAAAAGAUCUCUUUGCUAACAGCUCUGAUAGAAAAAAGUUAUGGUUUCACUCCUCCAUUGGCACCUAUACCAUGUUUGUAAUAAAUCAUGUGAUUGCUUUAUUCCUUGUGCCACUCGUCAGCAUGAUUCUGCAAUCUAGUCUCAUCAAACAAUGCUUUAUUUGUACAUUACAAGGUCCAAUAUGUGUGAAUAUAAUUUCUUUCAGUGGGGUAAAAUGUAGUAUUCAUUAGACCUGAUAUGUGUGUCCCAGUGAAAUUAUCAAUAAAUGUAUCUAGAGCCAAAUUAUUGGCUGUAUGAUGUCAUUCCAUCGUGCACCUGAAUUUGUAUUUCCUUUACAAGCUAUUGUUAGCAUGUGUGUGUGCUGAUUUGCUGGAGAAGCAUAGAGAUAGUCUUUCAGCUAUCUUUGAGACAUUUAAAGGAGGUGCUUUAGAAAUGAGUGUCCUGAUUGAUAUGAAAAACAGUUUUCACAUUUUCUGUACAAACUGUAAACAGUUCCUCAGUUGGUGAUUGUGGAAGAGAUUGCCAUAGCCACAGUAUUGAUCCACUGUCAGGUGGUAAACCUAGGAUUUCCUUCCAGUAUGAGCCAAGUGAAGUAAAACUGUGGUUGGAGAAAUGUUUUAUAUUCUUAAACUGAGUAUUUGCAACCCAUUAUGUUGGAUUGCAGUUCAUGUGUCAACACUUAAAAAUGUUUAGUUCUUCACUGAUGACACGUGAUACAAUUUCAAUUUUUAAGGCUAUUCUGUGUCAAGUUAAAUUUUGAAUUAUCCAUUUAAGCUUAUUUUUUUGCUGUGUGGCAGAUGGAUUUAUGUUCAUGUAAUAUUUUUAAUGUUGAUUGUGGUAAGGUGUAAUCAUAUGUAAA
This is a long non-coding RNA of Schistocerca cancellata (South American locust), 4211 nucleotides long. RefSeq lists it as uncharacterized. The transcript has 3 exons. The record is from RefSeq and is a predicted model, not a curated record. Lineage: Eukaryota; Metazoa; Arthropoda; Insecta; Orthoptera; Acrididae.